UUUUUGAUGUGAUGGUAAAUGGGAUUGUUUCUCUAAUUUCUCUUUCUGAUCUUUUAUUGUUAGUAUAUAGAAAUGCAAUCAUUCUUUUUUUAUUUUAUGAUUUUUAUUUUAUCCAUUAUAGUUGGUUUACAGUAUCCUGACACUUGAUUCCUGUAUAUUAAUUUUGUAUCUUGCCACUUUUUCUGAAUUCAUUUAUGAGCUCUAACAGUUUUAUGGUAGCAUCUUUAGGAUUUUCUGGGUAUAGCAUGUCAUCUGCAAACAGUGAUAGUUUCUACUUCUUCCUUUCCAAUUUGGAUUCCUUUUAUUUCUUUUUCUUCUCUGAUUGCCAUGGCUAGGACUUCCAGAACUAUGUUGAAUAGAAGCAGCAAAAGUGGAUAUCCUUGUCUUGCUCUGGAUCUUAGUGGAAAUUCUUUCAGCUUUUCACCAUUGAGUAUGAUGUUAACUGCAGGUUUGUCAUGUAUGCCUUUAUUAUGUUGAGGUAGGUUCCCUCUAUGCCCACUUUCUAGAGGAUUUUUAUCAGUAAUGGGUGUUGGACUUUGUCAAAAGCUUUUUCUGCAUCUAUUGAGAUGAUCAUAUGGUUUUUAUUCUUCAGUUUGUUAAUGUGGCAUAUCACACCAAUUAAUUUGUGGAUAUUGAAAAAUCCUUGCAUCUCUGGGAUAAAUUCCACUUGAUCAUGGUGUAUGAUCCUUUUAAUAUAUUGUUGGAUUCAGUUUGCUAGUAUUUUGUUGAGGAUUUUUGCAUCUAUGUUCAUCAGUGAUGUUGGCCUGCAAUUUUCUUUUUUUGUGAUAUCUUUGUCUGGUUUUAGGAUCAGGGUGAUGAAAUAGGGUAAAUUCUUAAAAGUAUAAAAAUUUUGUCAAAGUUAUGGCUUUCUUAUAUAAGCUUCUUAAAGCUUAUGAUCUGAAUUGCAUGUUAGCUUUCCUUAAAGAUUGUAUCAAGUUCUAUUUACACAAGCUCUGUUUGCAAAUGUUCACUUGAAUAUCACAAUCCUCAAUGCUGAUCAUUAUAAUUAAAAUCAUUUCUGAAUAUUAAAGGAAAAUGUUUUAUUUAUAUUUCUUGAUAGCAUUUUUUUCAUUUUAAUUAAAACUUUUUUGGAAUAAAUUGUUUUGGUUAUCCAUUGCCAGUUUAUCUACUGCAGUUUUAGCAUUUUCUUGAUGAAUGUUAAUGACCAUAAAUUAGGUUAUAUUUUGCUGAAAAUUAUUUUUUAUAGUUUUAAUUUUGAAGAAGCCAAGCCUGUUUUAUUAGAGAUACUAUGUUCCUACUAGCAUUAGUGGGACACUGAGGAAUGUGAAAACAGUGUUUCUCUGCAUCUGAUUUACAGAGAGCUUAUUGCUAACACAUAUACAUGAGAAUUAGACAGGCUAAGUGAUUUAAAAAAAAAGUCAAUGCCAUUUAUCAGUGGGUAUUUGAUUUACUACAUAUGAAUAUAUUUACCAAGUGUCCAAAGCAUGGCACUGAAUAUGAAGCAAAUUUUGGGUGUUUCAUUGGGGCUUUUUUGGCUGCUUUGUACAGCACAUGGAAAUUCCUGGGCCAGGGAUCAGAUAUCCAAGCUGCAGUUUUGACCUAUACCACUGCUGCAUCAAUGCUGGAUUCUUAACACACUAUGUGGGCCAAGGAAUUGAACCUGUGUCCCAUUGCUCCAGAGACACCAUCAGUCUCAUUGAACCACAGCAGGAACUCCUGAAGCACAUUUUAAAACACUUCUUAAGGAAUUCACUAGUGGUGCAGCAAGUUAAGGAUCUAGCAUUGUCACUGCAGCAGCUUGGGUCCCUGCUGUGGUAUGGGUUCGAUCCCUGGCCCUGGGAACUUCCAUAUGUAGUGGGCACGACAAAAAACAAACAAACAAACAAAAACCCAAAACCCCAAACCUUUCUUCCAUUCAUAUUCCAUGAUGCAAUAUAAAUUUCCUUAUGGUAUUAUUUCUGUUUGUUUGUUUUUUAGGGCUGCACCUGCAGCAUUUGGAAGUUCCCAGGCUAGGGGUCAAAUUGGAGCUACAGCUGCCAGCCACAGCCACAUCAGCAUGGGACCUGAGCUGUGUCUGCGACCUACACCACAGCUCACAGCAAUGCUGGAUCCUUAACUCACUGACCUAGGCCAGGGAUUGAACCUGCAUCUUCAUGGAUACUAGCCAGGCUCAUUACCACUGGACCACAACAGGAACUCCUCCUUAUGGUAUUUUUUAUAUGGGCAUUCUUUCAACUCCAGAGUCACAUACACAUAGACAUACUGCAGAAAUUUAAAAGUUAUAAUUAUGCUAGGUCUGUUAUGAAAUUGAAAAAUUUGAAAUGUAAAGAUUCUUCCUUAAGCACAUUGUCUUCCUUCUGCAAGUUUUCCUAACAUAAAAGCUUUCUCUUCCUUUCUCAAAAAUGUGAAAACCCAUGGUGUCCAACCCUGUUUACCAAAUAGUAUUAAAUUAUAUUGUAUAGCAUAACCAAAUAGAUUCUUUUUAUUUUCUGUAGUGAGUUCAUCUUAUGGUUAUUCAACCAAUGCUCAGUUUCACUUUAAGAAACAUGUCCUAUAGGCUGAGAUACCUGAAUCUCAGUUUUUGUCACGAGUGAUAUAAUCUUAUAUACAGUCUGUCAUUACAGCAAUAUACUCUGCAGAAAUAAAUGCUUUAUGUGCAGUUAUUUUUAUAUUUGGCUAAACCUGCUCACCCUUCUUUCAAUACUAUAACUCUUGAGGGAAGAGAUGUGCCUUACCUAUCAGUCCAUCCCUGCAAGAAGUCUUGAUGUGAAUUUUUGCUUUAAUAAAUUGAGUCAUCUUGGUUUUCCAUUUAUCUUAAAAUUAUUUAAAAAUAACUAUCAACUCUACCCUGCUUAAAAAAAAUAAACAAAACUCUCAAAUAAAAAAAAAAUCUUGUGACAGGAUAUACCCACAUUCCAUAAUCCCGAGAGUUCAUUUUCUUUUUCUUUUUUUCCUGUGGUAAUGAGAUUUAUUUAUUUAAUUUUAUGGAGUAUGGUUGACUUACAAUAUUGUAUUAGUUUCAGGUGUACUGCAAAGCGAAUCAGUCAUACAUAUAAAUAUAUCCAUUCUUUUUUUCCCAUCUAGGUAAUUACACACUAUUGAGUGGAUUUUCCUGUGGUAAAGUGGUGCUGGUUAAUCAUCUAUUUUAUACAGUAGUGUGUAUAUGUUAUUUCCACCCUCCCAAUUCUUCCACCCCCCUCCCAUGGUUUUAUCUAUGGUAACCAUAAGAUUAUUUUGAAAUCUGUGAGUUUGUUUCUGUUUCAUAAAUAAGAUCUUUUGUGUCAUUUUUAUUAGAUGCCAUGUAGAAAUGAUACCAUAUGAUAUUUGUCUUUCUCUGUAGAGGUCUUCUAAUGUCUAAUUUAAAUUCUCCCUGCUGUAAUUUGCAUCUGCCCCAUGAGACUAAGAAUAAUUUUUCUAUCUUUUAUGUAGGAAUCCUUUUCAUACUCAGAAACAAGUCAGUAUCUCUCUCUCUCUCUUUUUUUUUUUUUUUUUUUUUUUGUCUUUUUGCCUUUUCUUGAGCCGCUCCCUCUGUAUAUGGAGGUUCCCAGGCUAGGGGUCGUAUUGGAGCUAUAGCCGCUGGCCUACACCAGAGCCACAGCAACACAGGAUCCAAGCCGCAUCUGCGACCUACACCACACCUCACGGCAAUGCCGGAUCCUUAACCCGCUGAGCGGCGGCCAGGGACCGAACCCACAACCUCAUGGUUGCUAGUCGGAUUUGUUAACCAUUGCGCCACGAUGGGAACUCCAAAUCAGUCUCUCUUAAACCUUCUUUAUUUCAGAUCGUAUACAUUCAACUCUUUUCACUCACACUCCUCAGUGCUGUGCUUUGAAUUGUAUCUGUCCUUCACAAUGGACUUUCUCCGUGUUGCCAUACAAAAUGUUACAAAGGUUCUGACAAAUACAUUGCUGUUUGCACAGUGUUAAAUCAUUUGUAUGCUUGUGGGAUCCAGCGGUCAAGAAGUCAUGAAAACAAAAGCAAACAUAGAACAUGAAAAAAAAAUAGUAAAGACCUAAUAACCACCCCAAACAACCCUUUGGAAAAAAAAUCAGGUAUCAGAGGGUUUGCUUAAUAUGGUGGGUUUUUUUGUUGUUCUUUUUUUGUUUUUGUUAUUCAUCCUGUGAGCUUUAUAGUGGGAAAUAUUUCUGCUUCCACGGUGUACUGAUAUAAAUAACUAAGAAAAGGAGUUCCCAUUAUGGCUCAGUAGUAACAAACCCAACUAGUAUCCUGGAGGACGUGGGUUCUAUCCCUGGCCACUCAGUGGGUUAAGGAUUUGGCAUUGCCGUGAGCUGUGGCGUAGGUCGCAGAUGUNUCUGGCAUUGCUGUGGCUCUGGCAUAGGCUGGCGACUACAACUCCAGUUAGACCCCUACCCUGGGAACUUCCAUAUGCUACGGGUGCAGUUCUAAAAAAAUAAAGACAAAAAAAAAAGUAAUUAAGAAUAAAGUAC
Molecule: long non-coding RNA, 4409 nt
Filed under: Sus scrofa (pig)
Lineage: Eukaryota; Metazoa; Chordata; Mammalia; Artiodactyla; Suidae
Description: lncRNA (ENSSSCG00065034677.1)
Source: RNAcentral